Molecule: ribosomal RNA, 362 nt
Filed under: uncultured bacterium
Lineage: Bacteria
Description: partial 16S ribosomal RNA
Rfam family: Bacterial small subunit ribosomal RNA
Source: RNAcentral
CCUACGGGAGGCAGCAGUGAGGAAUAUUGGUCAAUGGCCGGAAGGCUGAAGCAGCCAAGCCGCGUGAAGGACGAAGGUGCCAAGCAUUGUAAACUUCUUUUGUCAAGAGACAAAAUCAGGCUCGAGAGCCUGACCGAGGGUACUUGAAGGAAAAGCAUCCGCUAACUCCGUGCCAGCAGCCGCGGUAAUACGGAGGAUGCGAGCGUUAUCCGGAUUUAGUGGGUUUAAAGGGUGCGUAGGCGGACUGUUAAGUCAGCGGUAAAAGCCCGGGGCUCAACCAUGGCGAGACGUUGAAACUGGAUGUUUUGAGAUGUCGAGAGGGAUGCGGAAUGCGCAGGGGAGCGGUGAAAUGCUUAGAUAUU